GGGCCCUACGUAGUAGACUAGUUGUGGGGUCAUUCCACGGAUUCCGUGACGCAGCUAACGCAUUAAGUUCCCCGCCUGGGGAGUACGGCCGCAAGGCUAAAACUCAAAGGAAUUGACGGGGACCCGCACAAGCGGCGGAGCAUGCGGAUUAAUUCGAUGCAACGCGAAGAACCUUACCAAGGCUUGACAUAUACGAGAACGGGCCAGAAAUGGUCAACUCUUUGGACACUCGUAAACAGGUGGUGCAUGGUUGUCGUCAGCUCGUGUCGUGAGAUGUUGGGUUAAGUCCCGCAACGAGCGCAACCCUCGUUCUAUGUUGCCAGCACGUAAUGGUGGGAACUCAUGGGAUACUGCCGGGGUCAACUCGGAGGAAGGUGGGGAUGACGUCAAAUCAUCAUGCCCCUUAUGUCUUGGGCUUCACGCAUGCUACAAUGGCCGGUACAAAGGGCUGCAAUACCGUGAGGUGGAGCGAAUCCCAAAAAGCCGGUCCCAGUUCGGAUUGAGGUCUGCAACUCGACCUCAUGAAGUCGGAGUCGCUAGUAAUCGCAGAUCAGCAACGCUGCGGUGAAUACGUUCCCGGGUCUUGUACACACCGCCCGUCAAGUCAUGAAAGUCGGUAACACCUGAAGCCGGUGGCCUAACCCUUGUGGAGGGAGCCGUCGAAGGUGGGAUCGGUAAUUAGGACUAAGUCGUAACAAGGUAGCCGUACCGGAAGGUGCGGCUGGUUCCCCCCUCCCUAC
This 740-nucleotide ribosomal RNA is filed under the name Microbacterium oxydans. Its description in RNAcentral is "bacterial SSU rRNA". It matches the Rfam family "Bacterial small subunit ribosomal RNA", at positions 797 to 1533 of the family's 1533-position model. Lineage: Bacteria; Bacillati; Actinomycetota; Actinomycetes; Micrococcales; Microbacteriaceae. The record is from RNAcentral.